UUAUUUUAUAUAGAUUAUUAUAUAUUUUUUCUAUAUAAAUAUAAAAUAUAAAGAUAUAAAUAUAUAAAUAAAAACCCUUGGGUUAUACACAUACAAUGCCAUCAAGUCCACUUAGGGCCUACAUUGGGUUAUUUAGUUGGUUAGUGUGGUAGAUUUCAAUUUUAAAACAUAAUAUCAGUAUUAUGCUUCCUGUCCACUGAUACCAGACAUGGAACUAUGUAAAAAUAAAAUAUGCCAGUUCAGAGAAGAAGCUUUAAGAGCUUUAAAUGGUUUUACCAUCUGUCUUUCCCUCUGCCAUGAGACUGUCAUGUUCUAUGAAGUGCUGCUUCUUCCAUCUGGGUCCUGCAAUAAAGGUGAUAUGGAGCAGAACAGCUGCCAAUUUACAAUGGAUGUGAAUAUGAGAAAUAUUUCCUUGUUGCUAGCACAUACGUACAAGGGCAGAGGCAGAAGGAGAGGAAGACAGAAUCUCAAGCCGACUCUGCACCAAGCAGGGAGCCCAACAGGGAGGACCAAUCCCAUGACCCUGAGAUCAUGA
Molecule: long non-coding RNA, 535 nt
Filed under: Mustela putorius furo (domestic ferret)
Lineage: Eukaryota; Metazoa; Chordata; Mammalia; Carnivora; Mustelidae
Description: lncRNA (ENSMPUG00000025931.1)
Source: RNAcentral